CAGAGGUGGCAAGCGUUGUUCGGAUUCAUUGGGUGUAAAGGGUCCGUAGGUGGUCGAGCAAGUCUGAUGUGAAAUCCCAUGGCUCAACCGUGGAACUGCAUUGGAAACUGCGCGACUUGAGUACCGCAGAGGUGAAGGGAAUUCCCGGUGUAAGGGUGAAAUCUGUAGAUAUCGGGAGGAACACCAGUGGCGAAGGCGCUUCACUGGGCGGUUACUGACACUGAGGGACGAAAGCAAGGGUAGCAAACAGGAUUAGAUACCCUGGUAGUCCUUGCCGUAAACGAUGUGGAUUAGGUGCUGGGGGUGUUGAUCCCCCCAGUGCCGCAGUUAACACAUUAAAUCCACCACCUGGGGAGUACGGUCGCAAGACUG
This 372-nucleotide ribosomal RNA is filed under the name uncultured organism. Its description in RNAcentral is "bacterial SSU rRNA". It matches the Rfam family "Bacterial small subunit ribosomal RNA", at positions 526 to 896 of the family's 1533-position model. The record is from RNAcentral.